RNAcentral lists this small RNA (1291 nucleotides) under Histoplasma capsulatum var. duboisii H88. RNAcentral describes it as "Histoplasma capsulatum H88 hypothetical RNA". The record is from RNAcentral. Lineage: Eukaryota; Fungi; Ascomycota; Eurotiomycetes; Onygenales; Ajellomycetaceae.
GGGGCCGGGUGUUGAGUGUUGGGCGGCUGAGUCCACGGGUUGUCGCGUGCUUCCUCCACGAUACUGCACUGAUCUUGUACGUCUACUUACCAGAUAGCGGAAGUGGGGAGGACUCUUGUUUAACAUAUUAUAUCAACUCCUACGCCGCUUGAGUUUGCUACACUAUACUUACGCACAUCCCCAUUGACGCAUACGUAAGGUAGCACCCAACCUAGGAAAAUUUUCCUACGUGCUUUUACAGAGUACAAUGGCAGUUUCACCUCUUGCUAUUUCACGAAUCUGCACCUUCGCAGGGUGGCUCAUAGCGCUAUGAUUCUAAAUUGAAGCUCCGUGACGUAGCUAGAUAGGAGGGAGAAAAUACGAGCCCAAGUGUGGUUUGGGGUUCGGUGGAAAAAAAUAAAAAAUAAAAAAUAAAAAAUAAAACAUAACCCACCCUUCGUUCAACCUAGGAUCAACCUAUGAAUACUUCACCAUGUCACCCUACGUUUCACGCCAGCGAUACAUGCGCGCCACUGCGACACACGGACAGCCCGCCAUCUUCCCCGAUCGAGUCUUCCACAUCCCAAUUUUGGCCUCUCUUUCCCGCCAUACAUGUGAGAUUUGCUACAACGUAGCGGUCGAUCAUUAGUUUACCACCGCAGCUGUGCUGUGAAACCCAUAACUCAACUCGAUCGCAAUUUUUUUUUUCCAAGUCGUUAGAGUUGAAUGCCAACGGUGUCCUGGUGAUGGAUAUCGUAAUAAAAGGGACAAAGAUUAAAAUAAAUAAUGAGAAGCCUUAUAUCUUACUUAUAUUGUCAUAUAAUUUCGAGACAGAGGGUGUAUUUCGUAAACUAACACAAUGCAAUCAAUCAACUGAACAUUUCUUUUUACUAUCACUUCCCUAAGAACCCAGCAAGCAAUUUAUUUAUUUGUUAAUUUUUUUUUUUUUAAAAAAAAAAAAAUGGGAGAGAGAAAAAACAAGCCAAAAAUCCUCAUGAAGUUAAUUAAAAUAUUUGAUGCAGAAAAUUGCCAAGUAAUAUACAAGAUGGAAAACAAAACAAAUGAAAAAAAAGGGGCUCUCUCUUGUCUUUUACAAGACGGUUGGAGAGGGGGGAAAAAAUGAGGCCAAAAUAAGAUAGUUCAACAACAACCUUGGACGAAAAUGUAACAGUUGAUGUGGGAAACAGUGUAGUUUUAAAAGAGGUGCGAAAAGAAGUAUAUAAUAAUGUAGUAAGACAAGGAUGUCGCUAAAUAGGGUGCGACACAUUGAAUGCUCGAACGGAAAAGAUUAAGUAUGUAAAACAUGCUGGGG